Molecule: long non-coding RNA, 937 nt
Organism: Numida meleagris (helmeted guineafowl)
Lineage: Eukaryota; Metazoa; Chordata; Aves; Galliformes; Numididae
Exons: 3
Source: RefSeq, a predicted model, not a curated record
CUUCGACUGCCAUACCACCAACAUCCGCUUCUGAUAUUAUGCACUGAUGUUGGCUGACCUGCACCAUGUACCAAGCGGUUAAGAAGCUGAUACAUCUCAGAAUGACAACAGUAAACAGCAUUCAGUCCAAAAGAAGUGCCUCAAGAUCAGCACUGAAGAAAAGCAGGAUAUUACAGAGAGGAAGUUACGAACUUUAAAAGCUGUGCAGAUAUGAAGAAAAGCUCAACUCGCAUUUCAGAGGGCAUGCCUGAUUUUAGUUUGUGAUUUUUUCCAUAAAUGCUAAUACAGAUGACUUCAGGUACAACUGUAUCCAAACUGUGAGAUUCAGUGUUCAAGUGUGCCUAUAUAACUAAUUGAUUUAAGCAAGUCUUCUAAAACAAUGUUUACCUUCUUUUCUUGCAGCCAAGCUCCUGCUUGUUUUCAGUGCCCUUUGCCCCUCCCUCACAACAGAGCUGGCUUUUCCCAAUGCUGCCGCUUCCAACAGCCACCUCCUUUCUAGCCUUAUUCAAGGACGUAUCUUAUCAGGCUGAUUAAUGCCUAACUAUGUAUCAACCUACUCACAAGAUACAAAUGCCACAGUAGAAGUCUCCCCACUGUUUCUUAAAAUGUGUUACAGUAAAUGCCAGUUUCAUCCAGCUUAGCAGGAUCCCCCUGAAAAAGUGUGAUACAAAGGAGGCAAAGGAGCCUUUUACUUUUUAAUUGCCACUGUCAGCUAACUAGAAAAUACUCUCAGGUGACACCAGGAACUUACAAGUUUAAGUCAGCGAUGACCCUCUGAGACUGAUACUUGUUCUGUCUCCAACUUCUGACCCUUUACAGCUACGGAUACCUCUGACCAAUUCAAAAUACACUCUUUUUACAGUUAUCUAUAGAAACCCCAGACUCUUUGCUACGCAUGGGCAAGUUUUUAUUCAUUUAUGCAUAACAGUAAAGUCAC